AGGAGCAACAGCCCUAGUGGCGGGGCCAGCUCUGGAAACCUGGAUUCAGCUCCGGCAGGAACUCCGGAGCUCUCCGUCUGCAGGGCCUGGAGGCUCCGGGGCGGG
RNAcentral lists this microRNA precursor (105 nucleotides) under Canis lupus familiaris (dog). RNAcentral describes it as "mir-8834 microRNA precursor family". It matches the Rfam family "mir-8834 microRNA precursor family". Lineage: Eukaryota; Metazoa; Chordata; Mammalia; Carnivora; Canidae. The record is from Rfam by way of RNAcentral.